UUUUAUAAAGAGCUCAUAGAAUCAUAGAAUCAUUUGGGUUGGAAGGGACCUUCAAAGCUCAUUUAGCUCCAACCCACUGCAAUGAGCAGGGACAUCUUCAACUAGAUCAGGUUGCCCAGAGUCCGUUGGUUCAUGGGAUUUUUAUUAGCAGCUUUGUGUGGACUCUGAAAGGUUUCCUGGUGUGUUCCUGAACCUGAUUACAUUUCCCCCUUUCCUGACUACAUUACAGGCUGGUUUUGUGCACAGGUUUGGCAAACUGAGCUCUUCAGUUGCUUGUGCUAACUUAUUUUUCCUGUAAAUACAGUAUUCUUUUUGCAGCCUGCUCUGGAAGGAAUCCUCCUCCAUCUCUUAUUUACACCAUUCCCAGCUGCUGUAUUUCUCAGGUGCAGCUCUUUUGCUUUUAUGAGUACUUUCCUCCUUGCAAGCAGCUGACCUCUACCCAACCCAUCUCACACACAGCAGGCUGAAGAGCGCCGUGAAAGAUGUUUCUGCUUCUAACACAAAAUGUAUCCAAAAGGAAAGAAGAGGAAGUUGGAGGCAAGACCUGCCAGCUGAUGUUACCUCUCCUGGUCAC
Molecule: long non-coding RNA, 574 nt
Organism: Pezoporus occidentalis (night parrot)
Lineage: Eukaryota; Metazoa; Chordata; Aves; Psittaciformes; Psittacidae
Exons: 3
Source: RefSeq, a predicted model, not a curated record